RNAcentral lists this long non-coding RNA (588 nucleotides) under Marmota monax (woodchuck). The record is from RNAcentral. Lineage: Eukaryota; Metazoa; Chordata; Mammalia; Rodentia; Sciuridae.
CUCUGGUGCUAGCUGGAGGUCAUCAAUCUCUCUGUCUUCUUCUGUAGGAGUAGUUUGGAGAAUGUGAAGCCCUUCACUGUUCAGUGGUGCUUCUAAGAGCUCUGCCCAGGAACGCCUGAAGAUAGACCUCUCUCUAAGAGGAUUCAUGCUUCUUGCUACUUCCAGAUCAUCACUUCCUGGGGACUCUGCAUUUUCUGGAGAUUCCAGCCACAGAUUUCUUGGGGUUCGUGGGCAACUGUAUUCUGAGGAUGGUGAACAUUUACUUAUUAAAGCCUCCAGGUGUAUAAGCCCAGUGAAUUUCAAAGUUGGAAUUUCUGUAUCAUCUAGCUCCUCCUUUCCAGGCACACCAGCAACAAGUAUUGCGGUGCCUUUCCCCCUUUCCUCUGGACUGGCAAUUCCUGUAACGUCUAAGCGUUGAGAUUCUGGGACCCCUGGAGAUUUAACUGGAAUUUUCUCUAGGCGAAGAAGCCCUGAAGUUUUUGGUCUUACAAGGGCAGUGCUCUCUACCUCUUUAGUUAGUGGGGGGGUGGUGACCAUCACCACUUGACUGAUAAUCCCCAGGUCCCUCUGAUGGAUACCUUCUCCUUC